RNAcentral lists this long non-coding RNA (1225 nucleotides) under Zostera marina. Its description in RNAcentral is "long non-coding RNA (ZMAR_LNC000838)". Lineage: Eukaryota; Viridiplantae; Streptophyta; Magnoliopsida; Alismatales; Zosteraceae. The record is from RNAcentral.
UGUAUUCUAUGGGUGGAAAAGACACACAGAGCAGUUAGCAUGAGUUGUAGUUUUCCCAAUUCCACAGUUCAUCAAUGAAGAACAGCAAACAAGGUCAGCCACCAUUGCUCAACAGGUAUUCAUAAUCUAAAUUAUUCCUUUGCUUUUUAUAAGACACUAAUUCGACUUUCUCUGUCUAAAAUAUGGCUAAUUGAUCGUGUUUAGAGAUAGGCAGAGGGUGAUUCAUAGCAGGAUCAGGAUCAUCUGGAGUAUGGCAAGGAAGAAAUUGAGUGGAUAAAAUAACUUGUUUUAGAUAGUAUCAUGAAAGGGUUUUGAUCUGGGAUGCAACAAUGACAUAGAUGCCAGCUACAAAGACUUUUGAAUCAGUCUUUUUAUUGCUGGUAAAAAAAAACUUGGUGGAUAUUUUCAAUGAAUUAAUUUUGCCACCAGCCUACAACUACAAUUUGCUAUUAUUGUUGAUGAAUUUUUGGGUGUCCAUUGCCAAUUUUAUCUACGACCACCAUUUUUCAAUCAGACAAUGAUCAGUGAAAUUUCUGAAUCCUCAAUAUUUUGGUAUUUAGGGUAUAUCUGUUUUUUUGUUUUCUUUUGAAAGGAACAAUCUUGCAAGUUUGCAAGGACGAACUUAUCAUUAUCUACUUUCAGAGUAUUACUUACAACCACACAGGUCAGUGUUUAAUCAAUUGGCAAAUUAUAAAUCUUAAUCGGUUGGUUGGUUAGUUGGUUAGUUGGUUAGUUGGUCAAACAAUUUAAUGUGAAAAAAGAGUUGCUGAUGUUUUGUAGGACAGUAAGAAGCCGGAGAGGCAGGCAAGACCGAGAAAUCUAAAGUCCAAGACGGAGGAAUAGACAAGUUAUGACAGUAGUAGGGCUGUGCGAAAGUUAAUUCUGGGCAUUGCUGUGAUACUUUUGAGUUUUGGCUGACACUAAGUUGUUGGAAUAGUGAUUGAUUUGCAGAAUCGCAGAGCCUUACCAUCAAAGAACAUCCAUAUAUAACUUCCAUUCAAGUGGCUUUAGAGAAUUAUAAUAACAUUGAGCAACUGAGCUGUUUCGCAGAAGAUAGCAAUUGAGCAACUGUGUGUAUUAAUUAAUUAAUUGAUAGAAGAUAACGAGGUAAUGAAUUCAAAUCACAAAAAUAGCUUAUUCUAUUUCCUUGCAUCAAAACACAAUAAAACAGGCAGUAAGCUCUGGAAUUCAAAUGCAUACUGUAACUCUGUAAACUUACAGACAG